Molecule: ribosomal RNA, 590 nt
Filed under: Carabus problematicus
Lineage: Eukaryota; Metazoa; Arthropoda; Insecta; Coleoptera; Carabidae
Description: partial large subunit ribosomal RNA
Rfam family: Bacterial large subunit ribosomal RNA
Source: RNAcentral
UUUUAAAUGGCCGCAGUAUUUUGACUGUGCAAAGGUAGCAUAAUCAUUAGUUUUUUAAUUAAAAGCUUGUAUGAAAGGCUGGACGAGGUAAAAUCUGUCUCUAUUUAAAUUAUAGUAGAAUUUAACUUUUAAGUUAAAAGGCUUAAAUAUUAUUAAAAGACGAGAAGACCCUAUAGAUCUUUAUAGUUUGUUAAAUUAAAUUAAUUUAGAAAUAUUAAUGUUUUAUUUAAUUAAAUUAUUUUAUUGGGGUAAUAAAAAGAUUGAAUUAAUUCUUUUUUAUAAUAAACAUUAAUUUAUGAAUAUUAAUGAUCCAGUUUUACUGAUUAUAAGAUUAAGUUACCUUAGGGAUAACAGCGUAAUUUUUUUAGAGAGUUCAUAUCGAUAAAAAAGUUUGCGACCUCGAUGUUGGAUUAAAGAUUAUUUUAGGUGUAGAAGCUUAAUAAUUUUGGUCUGUUCGACCAUUAAAUCUUUACAUGAUCUGAGUUCAGACCGGCGUAAGCCAGGUCGGUUUCUAUCUUUAAUAAAAUAAAAUAUUUUAGUACGAAAGGACCAAAUAUUUGAUAUAUUUAUAUUUAAUUUAUUGAAUAUUA